This 539-nucleotide transfer RNA is filed under the name uncultured Prochlorococcus sp. Its description in RNAcentral is "partial 16S-23S ribosomal RNA intergenic spacer". The stretch from base 211 to 283 matches the Rfam family "tRNA". Lineage: Bacteria; Bacillati; Cyanobacteriota; Cyanophyceae; Synechococcales; Prochlorococcaceae. The record is from RNAcentral.
CAGGGAGACAACAAAAUGUUAAAUAUAAUUAUUUUGUCACCUUAGGUCGAUCGGUAUCUCAUGUUCUUAAUUUAUUAAGAAUUUCAUUUCCUAAGUUUUUCUAGGUCACACCCAUUAUUUUCCUGGGCCAUUAGCUCAGGUGGUUAGAGCGCACCCCUGAUAAGGGUGAGGUCCCUGGUUCAAGUCCAGGAUGGCCCAUAUCUCUAUGUUGGGGGUAUAGCUCAGUUGGUAGAGCGCCUGCUUUGCAAGCAGGAUGUCAGCGGUUCGAGUCCGCUUACCUCCACUGAUUACCACCUCUUCCAUAAUCUGUAGAAAGGAAAUGUUUUGAGUCGUGAUCAAAUUCUGAACGAAUCUAGCUUCCUAAUGAAAUCAUUAAGAUGCUGGACUCAUUGAAUUAUUUUCAUUGUUUUCAGAGAACCUUGACAACUGCAUAGAUUAUUUUUAAAGACAAUAAGCAUCUUUAACGAUGCAGAUUUAUUAUUUAUGCGAAUGCAUUAAUAACAAUUCUAUUAAGCUGAUGCUUCAAUUUUGAAGUUAUU